CUUGGUCAUUUAAAGGAGAUAAAAAUACUUAAUACAUGUCCGUAUGGGAACCAGCAGAGAGAUCAUUCCAGAGAUGCAAAACUCCUUCACCCACUAAGCACGUUUCCAAAACCAUAUUAAGGGGCAGGCCCGGUCCUUCCCGGUGCCCCUCGGCCCUCGCUGGCGCCCGCCGGAGGUUAACCAAAGCACCACCACGUGCGCCUAAAAGGGUCUUCUGUACUGAAUAAGUCAAAACUUUCCACAACGGAUUUUUUGGUUCUGGCAUUGAAGAAAAACGCAGCGAAAUGCGAUAAAUAAUGCGAAUCGCAGAAAUCAGAGAAUCAUUGAAUUUUUAAACGCACAUUGCGCCCGCCAGUAAUCUGGCGGGCAAGCCUGUUCGAGAGUCAUUUCAACCAUCAAGCCCCGGGCUUGUGUUGGGGACCUGCGGCUGCCGCAGGCCCUGAAAUGCAGUGGCGGGCUCGCUGUCACUCCGAGCGUAGUAGUUACAUCUCGCUCUGGGCGUGCUGCGGGUUCCGGCCGUUAAAGCCUUAUUUACCCAAGGUUGACCUCGGAUCAGGGGGACCCCGCUGAACUUAAGCAUAUCAAUAAGCGGAGGA
RNAcentral lists this ribosomal RNA (596 nucleotides) under uncultured fungus. Its description in RNAcentral is "eukaryotic LSU rRNA". The stretch from base 233 to 386 matches the Rfam family "5.8S ribosomal RNA". Lineage: Eukaryota; Fungi. The record is from RNAcentral.